AGCAGCCGCGGUAAUUCCAGCUCCAAUAGCGUAUAUUAAAGUUGCUGCAGUUAAAAAGCUCGUAGUUGAAUUUCGGGACCAAUAUGUCGGUCGUGCCUCGGUACGUACUGGCAUCGUUGGUUUCUCCCUUCUGACGAACCAUGAUGUCAUUUAUUUGGUGUCGUGGGGAAUCAGGACUGUUACUUUGAAAAAAUUGAAAAGUGUUUAAAGCAGGCUCACGCUUGAAUACAUUAGCAUGGAAUAAUGAAAUAGGACGUUUGAUUCUAUUUUGUUGGUUUCUAGGAUCGACGUAAUGAUUAAUAGGGGUAGUUGGGGGCAUUAGUAUUCAAUUGUCAGAGGUGAAAUUCUUGGAUUUAUUGAAGACUAACUACUGCGAAAGCAUUUGCCAAGGAUGUUUUCAUUAAUCAAGAACGAAAGUUAGGGGAUCGAAGACGAUCAGAUACCGUCGUAGUCUUAACCNUAAACUAUGCCGACUAGGGAUCGGAUGAUGUUAAUUUUUAAUGUACUCAUUCGGCGCCUU
Molecule: ribosomal RNA, 520 nt
Filed under: uncultured Glomus
Lineage: Eukaryota; Fungi; Glomeromycota; Glomeromycetes; Glomerales; Glomeraceae
Description: SSU rRNA
Rfam family: Eukaryotic small subunit ribosomal RNA
Source: RNAcentral